Molecule: non-coding RNA, 125 nt
Organism: Brachypodium distachyon (stiff brome)
Lineage: Eukaryota; Viridiplantae; Streptophyta; Magnoliopsida; Poales; Poaceae
Source: Rfam
UACUUACUCCCUCCGAUCCAUAUUAAUUGUCAAAAUAUUACAUGUAUAUAGACGAUUUUUAGACAUAGAUACAUCCAUUUUUUAACAAAUUUAAGACAAUGAAUAUGGAUCGGAGGGAGUAUGUU